This 779-nucleotide ribosomal RNA is filed under the name Termitomyces sp. BAB-5063. RNAcentral describes it as "eukaryotic LSU rRNA". The stretch from base 287 to 440 matches the Rfam family "5.8S ribosomal RNA". The record is from RNAcentral. Lineage: Eukaryota; Fungi; Basidiomycota; Agaricomycetes; Agaricales; Lyophyllaceae.
UAGUCGUAAAACAAGGUUUCCGUAGGUGAACCUGCGGAAGGAUCAUUAUUGAAUUAAACCCUGGUCGGGUUGUUGCUGGCCUCUAGGGGCAUGUGCACGCCUGCCAUCGUUUUCAACCACCUGUGCACCUUUUGUAGACUUUUGGAUAUCUUUCGGGGGGUCACACUCUCGGUUUCGAGGGCUGCCGCUUGGCUUCCCUCGCAUUUCCGGUCUAUGCAUUUCAUACACUCCGUAAAGAAUGUAUUAGAAUGUCUUGUUAUUGGCCUCAGUGCCUUUAAUCAAAUACAACUUUCAGCAACGGAUCUCUUGGCUCUCGCAUCGAUGAAGAACGCAGCGAAAUGCGAUAAGUAAUGUGAAUUGCAGAAUUCAGUGAAUCAUCGAAUCUUUGAACGCACCUUGCGCUCCUUGGUAUUCCGAGGAGCAUGCCUGUUUGAGUGUCAUUAAAUUCUCAACCUAACCAGCUUUUGUGAGCUGGGAUAGGCUUGGAUUGUGGGGGUUUUCUUUGCGGGCUUCAUCUCAGAGGUCGGCUCCCCUUAAAAGCAUUAGUGGAACCUUCUGUUGACCUGUUUCCUGGUGUGAUAAUUAUCUACAUCGUGUGCAGUCAGCUAUCUAACAGGUUUCUGCUUCCAACUUGUAUCACCCUUUUUACUUGGGGGGGAACGCUUUGACCAUUUGACCUCAAAUCAGGUAGGACUACCCGCUGAACUUAAGCAUAUCAAUAAGCGGAGGAAAAGAAACUAACAAGGAUUCCCCUAGUAACUGCGAGGAAAGGGGGAAAA